UGGGGAAUAUUGGACAAUGGGGGGCAACCCUGAUCCAGCAAUGCCGCGUGUGUGAAGAAGGUCUUCGGAUUGUAAAGCACUUUCGACGGGGACGAUGAUGACGGUACCCGUAGAAGAAGCCCCGGCUAACUUCGUGCCAGCAGCCGCGGUAAUACGAAGGGGGCUAGCGUUGCUCGGAAUGACUGGGCGUAAAGGGCGUGUAGGCGGUUUACACAGUCAGAUGUGAAAUCCCCGGGCUUAACCUGGGAGCUGCAUUUGAUACGUGUAGACUAGAGUGUGAGAGAGGGUUGUGGAAUUCCCAGUGUAGAGGUGAAAUUCGUAGAUAUUGGGAAGAACACCGGUGGCGAAGGCGGCAACCUGGCUCAUGACUGACGCUGAGGCGCGAAAGCGUGGGGAGCAAACAGGAUUAGAUACCCUGGUAGUCCACGC
Molecule: ribosomal RNA, 429 nt
Filed under: uncultured bacterium
Lineage: Bacteria
Description: partial 16S ribosomal RNA
Rfam family: Bacterial small subunit ribosomal RNA
Source: RNAcentral